Molecule: long non-coding RNA, 285 nt
Filed under: Musa acuminata (dwarf banana)
Lineage: Eukaryota; Viridiplantae; Streptophyta; Magnoliopsida; Zingiberales; Musaceae
Description: long non-coding RNA (MACU_LNC001207)
Source: RNAcentral
AAACCAACAACACAAAACAAAGGUCAAAACCUGAUCUUUUGCAGAAAAAACAAAUCAAAAUCCAGAAUUUCUAAGAAGAACCCAAGAAAUUUCCAGUUUUGAUAGAUCGACUGAGCGAAGAAAAGAGGAGGGAGGGGUCUGAACCAAUUUUGAACUGAACAAACAGGAAGAGAGAAAGAUGGAGAUCAAAUUAAAAGUUGCGAUUGGGAGGGUGAUGGAAAUUUAUCGGCACAGAUGGUAGAACCCUAGAAUCUUCGUAUAAGACCCAGAAAGGGAGCGACAAAC